RNAcentral lists this long non-coding RNA (6266 nucleotides) under Toxoplasma gondii VEG. The record is from RNAcentral. Lineage: Eukaryota; Apicomplexa; Conoidasida; Eucoccidiorida; Sarcocystidae.
CUCGCAGAUCCGCCGCCUCUUCCUCUGUGUGGCACGCGACCGCGAGGAAAUGGCUGUUGAGCCAGUCGACUUGGAGCGCGACGAGACUCGUCAAAGGCCCCCACAGCGCUUCCAGCUUCGAUGCGGAGAGACCUCCGAAGUAGGAAGCGAAAAACUCGCAUUCCAGCUCAACCUCGCUGUCCCAGGACGCCUCUGGAGGUUUCGCCGCCUCUUGACAGUCUGAUCCUUCAACCUCCGCCUUCAGGCAAGAAGUCGCCAGAACAGCAGACCCUGAACCAAUAGACAGCCCAUCAAAAAGAGAAGAAGAUGACGCACCCACCGGCGAAGGAGCAGGCUGCAGAGCCGGCGGGACAGAAGCAGACUUCAAAACAGAGACUGAGAGAUCGAGAUAGACGGAAACACAGCGGUGGUAACCAAUGACACAGAUCCAAGCCAGAAAGAGAGAGCAACCGUGGACUGCUGUGACGAUGUGAAGGAGAAGGAGCCACCAGAGUAAGGAUGAGAAGGAACUGCCUGAGUAAGAGACGGAAGAGGCGAAAGAGAAGGAUGAAGAGACAAAAGAACUCUCACCCUUUUCUAAGCAGUGUUCCGCUUCUGGGGGCGUAGAAGGCGAGGAGUCUGACGAAGAAACCUGCGAAUUUUCUGUUUCUCGCAUCGACACAGGAGACUGCGACGCGCAAGCAGAGGUUGUGGGCUCCUGAGUUGGAGGCGACACUUGCGCUGAAGGAAACGUCCGAGACACUCCGGAGAUACCGCGUACCUCUGCGGCGUUUCCAACGUUUUGACUGCCAGUCGAGGCGUUGUCUGCGGUCUCGUCUGUCCCGCUCGUCGCUUUGAAUUCAUCAGUUUGACCACCCGGCUGCAUUUUAUCCUCCACAAGGCAUGGAGCCAUCGGAUCGCCUGAUCCACGGGUCUUCUCGCGUUCUUCUCCAACGCACGUCUGUCUUUUUCUGUCCGCCUUUUUCGAGAUUUCUUUUCCUCUCGCCUGCCUCCAGCUGUCUAUAUCCCCUGAGCCUGCACCGUUCUCACCCUCGCGCAGCAGCCCCGCCACCGCCAACGCAUGACCUUCUUCGGAGGACUGAGAGGAGGAGCCGGCCGCUUGGAGAGAAGAAGACGCCGUGUCACUCACGGACAGCCUCUCGGGUCGACAUGCAGUGGACGCAGCUGCGCAAGUGACUCCUAUCUCGGUGUUCCCUCGACUCCUCGACUCCUGCGCGUCCGCCUCGAGGCGUCUCUUUUCGUUGAGAAACGUCAAGAAGGCCCACUCAAAGCGCGCCUGCAAUUCAGAGACAGUCAUCUCGCCCACCAGUCGCAGCCCAGGAGACACUUGCGAAGAACUGCUGCGUCGGCCUCGCUCCUCUCUGGAAGCGCGGAGCUCAUGAGGCAUUAGCGGAAAAGACCGAAGAAGAACCAGCGACCGACUCUGGCUCAGACGAACGAACAGCCAGCGAGAAAGCUUCCAUAGUGGGUGGACCUCUGCUGCAGUUUUUCUCGCGCAGUCCUCAAGCCGCGUCCUGUUGGCGUCUGCAGGGUCUGCAUUGUAAGAAAGACACACGAAGCAGGCGACCACUUUCAAAGAGACGCUGAGACAACGUCAGCGUUGCGCCGCAGACAGAAGCACAGAAGGUCAGCUGCGUUCAGAGGUCUUGCCUGUCGGCAGCGGCGUCGACAGAGAGUAAGCAGCCUAGACUAGCGCGACACAAGAUGGAGACACAAGGCCCAGAACGUAGGACAGCCACCGAGCUGCUGAAUUGUGUCUCUGCACAAGAAACCGCGCAAAAGUUCUCUUCAUCGCUUGCAGGGCGAGGCGAGACCACUGACUGGAAGAGAAGGAGGCGCCGACGAGACACUGGCUGAGGUGUCUUUGCGCAUGAUUUACGAGCGACAACGCGUUGAAACCCGUGAGCUGUUUAACUCUACUAUCGUGUCUGUCCACCCCGCCUUGAAAGGCUCUGAAGUUCCCAGAAACGCGAGUCUGCUUCCCCGGAUUCUCCACCUACUUUCUUUGCCAGUCGUUUCCUCCUGUCUGCGACUUUCCUCUGCUUGCUUCAACUGCUCCAUGUCGUCCAGAAGUUUUCUUCGCAAGCUCUCGACUUUGACGCGUCUUUCUCGCUCUCUGUCUGUCUUUACCGACACCAUCGCCCCCGCCGUCGCGCCGCCGCCUUCGUCUCCUCCUGCUGGUUGGCUGUCGCUCUCCGCGCCUGAAGCCUUCUCUCCAGGCUUCCUUCGACCUGCCCGGCCCGCAUCUCUGUACGUUUGACGGCCGCGACGAGGAGAAACGUCUUCUCCCUUUCCAGAAACUCCCUCUCUGCUUGUCGUGCGGUCCCCCGUGCGCCCUCUGCCCCUUCGCCCUCUGCCUGCGCCUCGCCCUCCGCCGACCGCCACCGUCUCCCUUUUCUUCUCGUUCCUCGCCUCCUGUUCGUCGGCGGAGGAAAACCGUUCACACCGGUGGUCGAAGGCGGUCUCUGUCUGGACGCUCCAGGCGUUGAAUCCAGCGUCUUUGACGUCUCGAAUGGCGCGGAGGUUGUGGGCAUGGCAUUUCUGCAGGACGUCGAGGCCGUCGACAACCAUCAGGUGGUUCUCGCGAGUCCAUUCUCCGAAACUCUUCUUCGUCGCGAGUUUGUUGUACCCGAGGCAGACGACUCUGUAGAUCACUUCAAACUGUCUCCGCGACGCCCGAGCUCCGGGCUCUGCAGGCCCCGAGCUGAGACAGGGACUCAAGCAGCGGGUCUUCUCUCUCGGUCUGAGAAACUGUGUCGCGGCCGACUCGUCUUCGCUGCUCUCGCUGCUGUCUUCAGAAGAACUCGUGAACAACGCGCUCUGGAGACGCCGACGUUUCGGCUGCUCUUCGCAGUCCUCGACUUCAGCCUCGCCAGCGCCUCCACGCUUGCCCUUUCUCUGUCUCUGUUCUUCCUCGCGCAGCGCCACCGGGGAGACGAGAGCCGUGGUGUGCGGCUGCGAGGCUUCACUCUUCCUGGCACCGCGUCUUCGCCUGCAUGCAAAAAGGCGACGUUCCAACACGACGCCUAGCUGAAAACGCCCCUGCCAACUGUGCAUGACCAGCUCCCCGAGCUGAAACGCCGGGGUCACGCCCGCGCGCUCCCAGACUCCCGCGGCGCCAGGCCAGUGGGCACACGAGCUUGCAGGCGCGAACGCGCAGUCUGGGGACCAGGCGGGGAGCGCUGGGGGGACUCCGGGUCGCGCGGGGGUCGACGGUGGAAGCAAAAAGAAGGCGCGUGGAGAGAAAGAGAGGUCGGAUGAGGAGACAGACUCCACGUUUUUCGAACGAGACAAGCGAGAGGAAGUUUCUCUCCAUGCAACUGUCUCCGUUGAAUCUUUGUAUGUUGUCGGAGACGACGCUUCUCGACUCCGAAUCUCUUCACUAGGACCUCGAGGGUCGACCUGUUCACGAACCCUCUGCGUUUCCUCCUCAACUUUGUCUUUCUCUUCUUGACAAGUGUGCUCACCGCAGACGACUUCUUCUUCCCGCCGAUCCCCUUGCGUCUUCGCCUCUCUCAGUCCGUCUCCCUCCCCGUCGACUCCGCGCCUCCUUCCACUUUUCUCUCCGACGCGUUCUUCGACAGCCUUUUCCGCUGAGGCCGUCUCGCCCUCACUCUCCUCACUACCCCCGCUCUCCCCCGCGUCUCUGUCUGCGGCCCACACCGCAGCUUCUUCCUCGGCCUUCAUCGCCAUUAGAACACCGAGAACGUUUCGCCGGCGACUUUCUGGGAGCCCCCAGAGCCACCGGAGAACCGCCUCCGGGAGGACGGCGGAUUCAGCGAUCCGCCGUCUCUCGGUGAGGCUCUUCAGCGUGCUCGUCUGUUCAGUCCACACAGUCCGCGGGGCAAACGACGAGCGGUCAGAAGAGAGGAAGCUGCUGGACGGCGGACGCAGCGAGCCGAGGAAAGGAGGUAGACUGUCCUCGCUGUCUCUUCCAUCCUGAGUCGGGAUGGCGUCGGAGAAAAGCGUCGCCUCGUUGUUCGAUGGGGGGCUCCGCUGAACAAGAGAGGCAUAACAGAGGUGCAGGCGCUCCCGCAGCCACUCCCACAGACUCAAGUCUUCCGGGCUGACGCUGGCGGACAGCCGUGGACAGAGCGGGUGCCUCGCCUUGACACCUGAGCUUGGAGAGUGUCGACUCGCGCAUGCGGAGAACGCUGUUUCGCCUUCCCCUUCCGCCGGUCCAGCAGGCAGAAAGGACUCCGAAGAAGGGGAAACUCCGACAGUCGCUCCGUGGCCGACGCCCCCAUUGCAUGCAGUUUGAGUGCGAGCGUCCAUUCUUAUGACUUUGGGCUGAUGGGAAGAGUGCGCCCCCGGGGGAAGUCUUGAGCGUCUGCCAACCGAUUCGUCUGCCGCGUUAAGCUGCGGAGCGCUCAGAUGCAAGACGACUCUCAGUUUGAAAAGUCAAGGAGUUCGUUGUCCUUAAUUUGUGACAGCUUCUCCCGCUGCGACAACUCAUUCUGGUACGGUGAGAGCCGCGCGGACUUCGCCUUCCGGCGUAGCCAGCUGAGGCGUCACGGCGCGGAACAAGUGAGGAAUGUUGCAACCUUUGCUUGCUGGGGGGGAGUGUUUACCACGAAUCAACUCCUGGUCUAGACCAGGAACUCUUGAAGGUUGGGGUUCCCUGCACCCAAGCGUGGAAGAGACGGAAGGACGCGUUUCCUCGCUUUAGUGUCGACACAGGCGAGGUGCGCCGGCAGCGGAGAGGCAGGCGCAAAGGAGAAACGAAUUUUUGGACAUUGCGAAUGGCUGGGAGGAGAAAACAGGCAAGGUUUCGCCAGGGAAGAGACAUGAAAAAGUGCACAAGGUGGCGCCGUUCCUUCGACCCGAGACUGGGCGCAGAAGGCAAGACACACACCACUUUUUCCCUUUUUUCAACCUUGUUUCGACAUGCGUGUCUCGAAGACGAAGUGAAAUAAGGAGAAUCGCGUCCGUGUGGUACCAGAACGCGGUUCGAAGGAAGGAACUGUGAAAAAACGCCGCGAAUCCAGAAGAAAAGAGAUGGGAGAUGAGGGGAAAAAAAUGGUAAAAGGCACACGAGAGCCGCGAGUUGCAACAAGUGGUUCCGUGUGUCAGCAGCUCUGCUCAACUGGAGGAUCCUGCACACCUUGCAGUUGGAGAGCACGGAUUUGAAAAGUCAGAUCAGCGAAGAACGGCCCUGUUUUCCAAAGCAAACGUUCAUAGCAAAGGGAAUGAAGGAGGAACCGCAUAGUUUGCUGGGCAACCCGGGAAGUUCCACGAGACACGAAACAGGCUCGGGUGAGGUCAAUGCGUUCCGACAGCGGCGCUGCAGCCUCGGCAAAAACGGCUUUUUCUGGCAGCUGGCAACAGUGCAGGUUCCAAGAAAAACACUUUUUCGAAGAUCCGAGACGGACGCGGCCAUUUCAGAGGAAGACGACUUUCUUACCGGACUCAGACUGCACCUGCCGGGUGAAAAGUGGGUGGGGACAAAGGGGGGAGGAAAAAGGGGCAAAUGUGCAUGUGAGGUGGCAUUUCCGCACACGAGGAGCUUGGCUUUUUCGCAUUUGCAGUCAGCGCUGCUGUCCUUUCGGACUUUCAAGGACGUUGGGGGGCUGAAAAGCCGCACCGGAGAGGAAGAGUCGAAGGGAAACCCGCAACCACGCUACAGCAAUGUCUUCAACACUCGGUUGAACAAGACAGCUCGCCUUUUUGCUUAUAAAAAUUGCAAGGAUUGCUGUUAGAAACGAUGUAAAAUGGCUAUAUGCAAACGAUAGAGUGUGUGUCGCACAGCGCAAUCAAAGAUUUCGACUUCAGAAUGAGACUGGUUUCUACACACAAGCGCACUUUUUCUUGACAUGCUUGUGAUAGCUACUUAGAAAACGAUACGACGUAGCGGACGGACGACGAUUCUCUCCGUUGCAUCUGGUCUUUCAUUCUCUGUGUUACCCCCGAACAUUGACAGAUGAAUGUGUCGUGGACUGUAUAAUUCAAGAUCAAGAAACGCUCUCCUACCUUUAGGCCGUUGCGUUUCUCGGCGAACCAGCGUAUCUGGAGUGUGUUUCGACAGUGAGGCCACCUCCUUAGUUGUACGCAUUAGCACUGUUCGUUUGCAAUCACAAUGUAACCAAUGCAGUCCAGUACAAGAAAGUAGUAGCUGCUCUGUUGCGGUAGUUGUCUGUUGCCUGUGGCAUAGCCCAUUUCGGAUUUCUGUCACAUGCAUGGGAUUUCUGUGAUUUCCAGCACAGUGGCCGACGCUCUACACCGGAGGAAAAGUGUUAUCAAAGCCAUGACUUUCCUGUAAGUAGCAG